Molecule: unclassified non-coding RNA, 378 nt
Filed under: uncultured Actinomycetes bacterium
Lineage: Bacteria; Bacillati; Actinomycetota; Actinomycetes
Description: uncultured actinobacterium contains 16S-23S intergenic spacer region
Source: RNAcentral
UCCGAGUUGACCCCGGCAGUCUCCUAUGAGUCCCCGGCAUGACCCGCUGGCAACAUAGGACGAGGGUUGUGCUCGUUGCGGGACUUAACCCAACAUCUCACGACACGAGCUGACGACAGCCAUGCACCACCUGCACACCAGCCACAAGGGAACGCCUAUCUCUAGACGCGUCUAGUGCAUGUCAAACCCAGGUAAGGUUCUUCGCGUUGCAUCGAAUUAAUCCGCAUGCUCCGCCGCUUGUGCGGGCCCCCGUCAAUUCCUUUGAGCUUUAGCCUUGCGGCCGUACUCCCCAGGCGGGGCGCUUAAUGCGUUAGCUACGGCACAGACCGAACAAAUGCCGACCCACACCUAGCGCCCACCGUUUACAGCAUGGACUAC